RNAcentral lists this small nuclear RNA (313 nucleotides) under Nannospalax galili (Upper Galilee mountains blind mole rat). RNAcentral's name for it is "7SK RNA (ENSNGAG00000006754.1)". The stretch from base 1 to 263 matches the Rfam family "7SK RNA". Rfam says of the family: 7SK was discovered as an abundant small nuclear RNA in the mid-70s but a possible function has only recently been suggested. Two independent studies have found that 7SK RNA binds the CDK9/cyclin T complex (known as elongation factor P-TEFb). P-TEFb activates transcription by phosphorylating the C-terminal domain of RNA polymerase II. Lineage: Eukaryota; Metazoa; Chordata; Mammalia; Rodentia; Spalacidae. The record is from Rfam by way of RNAcentral.
GGAUGUGAGAGAGAUCUGGCUGAGACAUCUAUCAUCCCAUUGAUCAUCAGGGUUGAUUGGGUGACCUUGCUAGCAAGAUGAGGGUCCUCUCCCUUUCUUACCACUCCAUGUGUGUCCCUCCCAAAGCUGCACACUCAGUCUAAGAGAUUUCCCCAGUAGAGGAGGACUGUCCUUCAAGGGUCUCCCUGCUAGACCCUCCAAACAAGGUCUUGAGGUCAUGGUGGGCUAAGCCCCAUGAGUGGGGCUUAGGGUGGAGCUAACACAGUUGGGCACAUGGAGGUGGCUGAGAUGCUCAAGAAUCAACUGCCCCUUU